RNAcentral lists this microRNA precursor (190 nucleotides) under Oryza brachyantha (malo sina). Its description in RNAcentral is "MIR812 microRNA precursor family". It matches the Rfam family "MIR812 microRNA precursor family". The record is from Rfam by way of RNAcentral. Lineage: Eukaryota; Viridiplantae; Streptophyta; Magnoliopsida; Poales; Poaceae.
AAUAAACUAACUUUUCAUUUUUUAUCUACAGUUUUUGAGUCUUCGUCUUAUUAAAAAUUUUUUUCGAUUGAUAUUUUUUGUUUUUAUUAGAUAAUAAAUCAUGAAUAGUACUGUAUGUGUGACUAAUUUUUUCUAAUUUCUCGAAAAUAUUUCAAAUAAGAUAAAUGGUCAAACGUUGGACACAGAAACC